UGCGUAGGCGGGUCUUUAAGUCAGGGGUGAAAUCCCAGAGCUCAACUCUGGAACUGCCUUUGAUACUGGGUAUCUUGAGUAUGGAAGAGGUAAGUGGAAUUCCGAGUGUAGAGGUGAAAUUCGUAGAUAUUCGGAGGAACACCAGUGGCGAAGGCGGCUUACUGGUCCAUUACUGACGCUGAGGUGCGAAAGCGUGGGGAGCAAACA
This 207-nucleotide ribosomal RNA is filed under the name uncultured bacterium. Its description in RNAcentral is "partial 16S ribosomal RNA". It matches the Rfam family "Bacterial small subunit ribosomal RNA", at positions 568 to 774 of the family's 1533-position model. The record is from RNAcentral.